This 429-nucleotide ribosomal RNA is filed under the name uncultured bacterium. RNAcentral describes it as "bacterial SSU rRNA". It matches the Rfam family "Bacterial small subunit ribosomal RNA", at positions 355 to 776 of the family's 1533-position model. The record is from RNAcentral.
UGGGGAAUUUUGGACAAUGGGCGAAAGCCUGACCCAGCAAUGCCGCGUGUAGGAAGAAGGCCUUCGGGUUGUAAACCACUUUUGUACGGAACGAAACGGUUCGCUUUAAUACAGCGGGCUAAUGACGGUACUGUAAGAAUAAGCACCGGCUAACUACGUGCCAGCAGCCGCGGUAAUACGUAGGGUGCGAGCGUUAAUCGGAAUUACUGGGCGUAAAGCGUGCGCAGGCGGUUAUAUAAGACAGUUGUGGAAUCCCCGGGCUCAACCUGGGAAUUGCAUCUGUGACUGUAUAGCUAGAGUACGGUAGAGGGGGAUGGAAUUCCGCGUGUAGCAGUGAAAUGCGUAGAUAUGCGGAGGAACACCGAUGGCGAAGGCAAUCCCCUGGACCUGUACUGACGCUCAUGCACGAAAGCGUGGGGAGCAAACAGG